UGCCCUGUGGUGUAAUUGGCAACACAUCUGAUUCUGGAUCAGAAAUGUCUAGGUUCGACCCCUAGCAGGGCAG
This 73-nucleotide transfer RNA is filed under the name Spirochaetota bacterium. RNAcentral describes it as "tRNA-Gln". It matches the Rfam family "tRNA". From Rfam's summary of the family: Transfer RNA (tRNA) molecules are approximately 80 nucleotides in length. The record is from RNAcentral. Lineage: Bacteria; Pseudomonadati; Spirochaetota.